UGUUAUGGCGGCUGUGCGUGGGACACCUUCGGGUGUGCCGGGUGCCUUGAGUCCCGGUCGGCCAACCCGCGUACAGCCGUCACCAUU
This 87-nucleotide non-coding RNA is filed under the name Pseudomonas soli. Lineage: Bacteria; Pseudomonadati; Pseudomonadota; Gammaproteobacteria; Pseudomonadales; Pseudomonadaceae. RNAcentral also lists the same sequence under 1 other name. The record is from RNAcentral.